This 253-nucleotide ribosomal RNA is filed under the name uncultured bacterium. Its description in RNAcentral is "partial 16S ribosomal RNA". It matches the Rfam family "Bacterial small subunit ribosomal RNA", at positions 524 to 776 of the family's 1533-position model. The record is from RNAcentral.
UACGAAGGGUCCAAGCGUUGUUCGGAAUCAUUGGGCGUAAAGCGCGCGCAGGCGGAUUGAUAAGUCAGUGGUGAAAUCUCCAGGCUCAACCUGGAAACUGCCAUUGAUACUAUCAGUCUUGAAUUUUGUUGAGGUAGGCGGAAUAUGUCAUGUAGCGGUGAAAUGCUUAGAUAUGACAUAGAACACCGAUUGCGAAGGCAGCUUACUAAGCAAAUAUUGACGCUGAGGCACGAAAGCGUGGGGAUCAAACAGG